Molecule: ribosomal RNA, 395 nt
Filed under: uncultured Streptococcus sp.
Lineage: Bacteria; Bacillati; Bacillota; Bacilli; Lactobacillales; Streptococcaceae
Description: bacterial SSU rRNA
Rfam family: Bacterial small subunit ribosomal RNA
Source: RNAcentral
CAUCCCGAUGCUAUUCUAGAGAUAGAAAGUUACUUCGGUACAUCGGUGACAGGUGGUGCAUGGUUGUCGUCAGCUCGUGUCGUGAGAUGUUGGGUUAAGUCCCGCAACGAGCGCAACCCCUAUUGUUAGUUGCCAUCAUUCAGUUGGGCACUCUAGCGAGACUGCCGGUAAUAAACCGGAGGAAGGUGGGAUGACGUCAAAUCAUCAUGCCCCUUAUGACCUGGGCUACACACGUGCUACAAUGGUUGGUACAACGAGUUGCGAGUCGGUGACGGCGAGCUAAUCUCUUAAAGCCAAUCUCAGUUCGGAUUGUAGGCUGCAACUCGCCUACAUGAAGUCGGAAUCGCUAGUAAUCGCGGAUCAGCACGCCCGCGGUCCGAAUACGUUCCGGCCUU